This is a long non-coding RNA of Pan troglodytes (chimpanzee), 308 nucleotides long. RefSeq lists it as uncharacterized. The record is from RefSeq and is a predicted model, not a curated record. Lineage: Eukaryota; Metazoa; Chordata; Mammalia; Primates; Hominidae. The transcript has 3 exons.
CUGGAACAGCAGUUCUGUGUGAGUCGAACAUCUUUUGUCUAGGUUUCAGUCAUCAGCAACUUCAUUCAUUAUGCAGACGAUGAAAGAGACAUUCAGAGAGGUUAAAUAAUUUGCUCGUGUAUACACAACCAGUAAAUUGCAGAGCCAGACUAAUGACAAAAGUAGAGGAUCACUGACUGCUGGGUGAAAAUAUGGAAGGUAAAUAUGAGCACCCCCACUUAAUCCUUAGCAGUAUGAUAAGUAAAAUUUAGAGUUUCAGAAUAAAUGCAUUACGUUAACUUCAUAAACUUAUAACUAAUUUUAUUAGU